RNAcentral lists this non-coding RNA (21 nucleotides) under Arabidopsis thaliana (thale cress). The record is from RNAcentral. Lineage: Eukaryota; Viridiplantae; Streptophyta; Magnoliopsida; Brassicales; Brassicaceae.
UCAGAACCCACAUUUGGCGCC